ACCCCGAUCCCAAGCACCAUGGAGCCGACGAUUUGGAUCAAGACCUACAUCCCAAGCACCAAGGUGCCUGGUUGAUAUGGAUCGCGAUCCCGAUCUGGAGCUCCAGGGCGCCGAGGAUUUCGAUCACGAUCCCGAUCUGAAGCACCGAGUAGCCGAGGAUAUGGAUCAAGACCCCGGUCCGAAGCGACAAGGAGGCAAGGAUUUGGAUCACCACUCCGAUCAAAGGCACCAAGGCGUCGAGGGAUUGGAUCGAGAUCCCGAUCCCAAUCAUGAAGUUGGCUAUGUAAUUUCCUGUUUUCCACACCGUUCAGGGCAUUUUGGUGGUCGUAUCGGCUUUUAGUUGCUUGCUUGGUGUUAGUGCCAGGGGAGUGGUUGGAAGCUAGGUCGUCCUCUGGAAUGCUUGUUGUAAAGGUGUAUGAGUUGUGUUUGGCUUGUUACGGGUGUUUGUUGGCUGCUUGUGCAGGAACUUUCAUGCGUCCAAGCCUCUUCAGUUGUGCUACAAGGCCUUGUUUGUCUUGUGCAUACGGUGGGUUUCCUGUGUUGCAUACCUAAUCAAGGGCAUCGUAUGGCUUGAUCGAAGUAAAUAUUCGUAAUGCGCCGCUUGCGGCGUUGCACGAACCUCGAAGUGGUCUCUGUGGCCCAUGUUGUCUUUGCUCACGUAUGGAUGGCAUGGCCCUCGGAGCGUCGCUUGGUCUCUUGGAUACGGAACCUGAUGAUGUGGGCGGUAGGGUCUUGGAUGAUUCUACCUUCGC
Molecule: unclassified non-coding RNA, 752 nt
Filed under: Tolpis laciniata
Lineage: Eukaryota; Viridiplantae; Streptophyta; Magnoliopsida; Asterales; Asteraceae
Description: partial external transcribed spacer
Source: RNAcentral